RNAcentral lists this non-coding RNA (837 nucleotides) under Pan troglodytes (chimpanzee). Lineage: Eukaryota; Metazoa; Chordata; Mammalia; Primates; Hominidae. The record is from RNAcentral.
AUUUAUUAUAGCCAUGAAAUGCUCUGCUCUCUUCUCUUUUCCUUGCUGUCCCUGGGGCUGGAGGAGCACGGGCCUCCCCGGGAGUGGGCUUCAGCCUCCCUAGACUCCUGUCUCCUUCCAAGGGCUAGGCCUGGGGGACCAGAAGCAAGAGUCCCUAGAGCGUCCAAGAUUUUUGGUUUCAAACCAAUUUCCUGCUGACCAGAAUGAAAUGGAGCCACAUUCCAGCACGAUGCACCUGCUGACCUCCUGCAAGUCAGGGACCUUCUCUGCCCCUCUUUUGCUCCGCUGCAGGAGGGAGAAGCUGGGAAUGUGUUCCUCUGGGGUCCCAUCACCUCCAGCCAGCCACUGUCCCUGUCUCCCCAAAAACCUCCUCGUUGUCCCUCCUCUGUCCUCCUCCUCCUCCAUCUGCCUUCGCCCUGCUCUCCUCUUUUUCGCCUGAGGUUCGUGCUGCCUCCUCACCUCUUGUCCUGUUUCUCCCUUCUCUCUGCUCCCUCCUUUGAUCUUGCUAUUUUGCUUCUCUUUCCCUUCCUCUCUUCUCCUCCCUCCCCUUCCUCCCUGCUCCCUGCCUCAGCUUCUCAGUCUCUCUCCGUUCUUCCUCUAGCUUCCUUCCCUCCCCAGAAGACCCAGCCCUUCCUAGAGCCCCAGAAGCCAGGGUUCAUGCCCCAGCUCUCUACCCGCACAUGCUGUGCAACCCUGGGCCAGUCACUGGUCUCUUGGGCCUCAGUUCAACAGAUGGCUGUCUUGGUGAUGUGAGAUCAUAGGGUGGAAGCACCCAGAAUGGUGCCAGGCACUCAAAAAUUUUUUUCUUUUCCUUUUUAAGGAACUACUAACCGUGAG